This 71-nucleotide transfer RNA is filed under the name Loxodonta africana (African savanna elephant). It matches the Rfam family "tRNA". Rfam says of the family: Transfer RNA (tRNA) molecules are approximately 80 nucleotides in length. Their secondary structure includes four short double-helical elements and three loops (D, anti-codon, and T loops). Lineage: Eukaryota; Metazoa; Chordata; Mammalia; Proboscidea; Elephantidae. The record is from Rfam by way of RNAcentral.
ACAAUGGUGGUUCAGUGGUAGAAUUCUCACCUUGCACAUGAGAGUCCUGGGUUUGAUUCCCAUCCAAGGCA